Molecule: long non-coding RNA, 1747 nt
Organism: Sarcophilus harrisii (Tasmanian devil)
Lineage: Eukaryota; Metazoa; Chordata; Mammalia; Dasyuromorphia; Dasyuridae
Exons: 3
Source: RefSeq, a predicted model, not a curated record
CUCCCUGGGGGGGGGCAGUAGGCACCUCGUAGUCUCCUCUCUGCCGAGCCUCGUGCUGGGGGACUUAACUUCUCAAUGUUCUAGGCAACUUUCUAAGACUAUAAUUCAUAGAGAAGACAACUCUCUGCUGCUCAGAGGAAAUUUAUUCACCUGGGGGAAUUUCCUGUCUAUAUAUCUUAAGAACCAUCAGGAGCCAGAAGCCACAGGACAACUGGAGAUGGCCCUGGAUGCAGUGGGAGACCUCGGGCUUGUUAAGCUAAGGUCUUCAACAGGUCUCAGUGAGACAGAGGGAACUGCUCAAUCAGUGAUUAAUGACUGAACUGACCACCCUGGUGGCAGGACGCAACCCAAUUUAUGGAUGAGGAAUCCAUCAGUGUUGGACUCCUACUACACAUAGGCUGCCAUAUGUGUGGGCCUCCUGGCUGAAGAAAAAUGCAAGUGCUGCUACUCUCAAAGUGUUCUAGACCUUCAUCAGAGCAACUCUGCAUGUGCUUCAUUAAUUAGCACCAGAGUAAUUGGCUUGAGUUACUUGCUUCUGCUAAACUCUACUUUAACAGUUGCAGUUAUGCUCAGAACACACUGGAUGGAUGGGUUAUUUUUUUUUCCAGCCCCAAAGAAUCUUCACCCUUGGUUCUGCCCAUUUCUCAAGGUCUGGCAGGCAAGAGGAGUUGAAUAUUACCCAGAGGGACUUGCAAACUACCUUAGAGACCACCAUAGCUCAAUCUAAAGCACACAAUUGCCUACCACUGUACACCAGUCAUAGGGCAGGUCUGGAUCUCAACCAGAAACUUGCAUGGUAGCUCAGACUGGAAGAAUGGAAUUGCCCAGCACUGCAAGGAGAGAGUCCAAUAGACUUCCAUUGAAAUUCCUUUUUUUUUCUUUGUCUGCUGGAUGCUUUUCUCAAUUUUUGUUCACCCAUAGCAUUAAUGACUGAAGAAUGUUAUAAAGUUAUAUAUAUGUAUAUCUUAUUGACAAAUAUAUACUAUAUUCCACAUGUCACUAAAUGUGGCAAAAGGUGCAUUGAAAGGCAGAGCAGGAGGCUACCUAGGCAAGAGGAGAGAAGCAAGGAUCUCAGGUCUUCUCUAGAAAAGAAAACCUGAGCCAAGAAUGAGAGAUAUUCCUAAGGGAUCUGGGAAGACUAAAGUCCUCUCCUUCUCCCCUUGUCCCCACACUAAAGGGCUAAAGGUUUCUGGAGAUAGUAGAGGCUGAGCAGAAGAUGAGGGAGGUAAGAAGACUUUAUGGUGAUCAGGUGAUACAGGAGCAGCAACACAGAGAGGAGUAUGGGCCUUCCGGAGGUGGUGACAUGGUAGAAACUGAAGGCCCUAACUGAUCCAGUCACGGAACUGAGCACCUCAAGCAAAAAUGGUGAAUGCUUGUUCCUUCCAGAGUCUCUUUAAAUGGUCACCAUGUCUACCUGGAUUUCGUGUCUCCUGAAAUUCCCGACAAGGGAACUCCCAGAAUCUUUCUAGAGAAAGAGAGAAGAAUUGUAAGUGGGAACUAUGGUGGGUGACCAGUUAAGACAUAGCAAACCUCAGUGAACAACUCUCAGAAGGUGGAUAGGAUCUGGAAGAAAUUUUUUAUGAUUUCAGCUGGGAAGGAAAUGAACAUUUACUGUCCAACCCUCCAUCAUAUUCUUGCCAGACAUACCUUUAUGUGUCAAGAGAAACAUUUACACUCUUCCAUUAGACCAUGAGCUCUUUGAGACCAGGGAGUGGAGAAGGGGGUGUUUUCCUCUAUUUUAUUUGUA